UACGUAGGGGGCUAGCGUUGUCCGGAAUCAUUGGGCGUAAAGCGCGUGUAGGCGGCCCGGUAAGUCCGCUGUGAAAGUCGGGGGCUCAACCCUCGAAUGCCGGUGGAUACUGUCGGGCUCGAGUCCGGAAGAGGAGAGUGGAAUUCCUGGUGUAGCGGUGAAAUGCGCAGAUAUCAGGAAGAACACCCGUGGCGAAGGCGGCUCUCUGGGACGGUACUGACGCUGAGACGCGAAAGCGUGGGGAGCGAACAGG
This 253-nucleotide ribosomal RNA is filed under the name uncultured bacterium. RNAcentral describes it as "partial 16S ribosomal RNA". It matches the Rfam family "Bacterial small subunit ribosomal RNA", at positions 524 to 776 of the family's 1533-position model. The record is from RNAcentral.